Molecule: ribosomal RNA, 378 nt
Filed under: uncultured eukaryote
Lineage: Eukaryota
Description: partial 18S ribosomal RNA
Rfam family: Eukaryotic small subunit ribosomal RNA
Source: RNAcentral
CAAUAGCGUAUAUUUAAGUUGUUGCAGUUAAAAAGCUCGUAGUUGGAUUUCGGGUGGGACGCAGCGGUCUCGCAUUGCGUUUGUACUGCUGCAGCCCUCCUUCUUGCCGGGGGCGGCCUCUCGGACUUCACUGUCUGGGGGUCAGAAUCGGCGAUGUUACUUUGAGUAAAUUAGAGUGUUCAAAGCAAGCUUACGCUCUGAAUAUAAUAGCAUGGGAUAACACGACAGGACUCUGGCCUAUCGUGUUGGUCUAUAGGACCAGAGUAAUGAUUAAGAGGGACAGUCGGGGGCAUUCGUAUUCCGUUGUCAGAGGUGAAAUUCUUGGAUUUACGGAAGACGAACAUCUGCGGAAGCAUUUGCCAAGGAUGUUUUCAUUGA